UGAAGAUCAGGAGUAGAGAUCACAAAACGAAAAACUUUGUGUCAGUAACAUGUCUUGAGGAGCUAAUCAGAGUUGCUGUGGGUCAUGGAAUUUGUCAGGAGGGCAACAUACAGGUGUAUUUAAUGGAUGAGUUAUCACUUCGCUCUAUGGUUGCUGGUGCUGAGAAAUGCCUCGAUGACAUUUUCAUUGUUAAAAAUGGACUAUGGAAACAAGAUCAGUCAACAUGUGUGAGUGCACCUUCACCAAUCCCACAAAUGCCUCUGCUCUCACGAAUUUAUUACCCUUGGGAGAGCCUCAGCAAGACAGUACUUGAUGCAUUGGAAGCAGACAAUGUUCUGCUUCCCUCUCAACGACAGGAAGUGGCACACAUGGCAGCGUCAUGGCCCUGCAUAUCCAUUGAAGGUGGGAGGCACUCCUGAUAUUUAUUCACAGGCACCUGGUUGGUAUCAUUGAGAACGAAGGGAGCCAGCAGGCAUAAAAAAUCAAGAGGGCUACAUACAUAAAUGCGUGAGGCAAUGAG
Long non-coding RNA from Ornithodoros turicata, 520 nucleotides. RefSeq lists it as uncharacterized. NCBI's taxonomy places the organism in Eukaryota, Metazoa, Arthropoda, Arachnida, Ixodida, Argasidae. The transcript has 4 exons. The record is from RefSeq and is a predicted model, not a curated record.